UACGUUUUCCUUGUGCGUUCUCCAGUCUUACCCAGCAUACGUCUUUUAGCUAAGCUAACUACGGUAGCUUUACAGCGUCAAAAGACACCUCUUCACGCUAUUAACGCCACUUUGUUUACGUUUCCGUGUGCCCUAAAUAACUUGGCCCGAUUGAAUCACUUUAUUUACACACUAUGAGUAGAACCGUGCUCACAGCAGCUAACUUAACUACUUUGUUGUUUAACUUCAUUGUCUAUAAUCUGCCCGCAGCGUGCAGCCGGGCGCAGCUAAAUGACACGUAAUGUAUUGUGCGUCUUCAAUGCUUUUCAAUAUGUUAUAUAUUUAUUGCCUUCACAAUGAGCAUGAAUCUAACAUUAAAUGAUAUGAUUAAUAUGCCCCUCAUUCCAAUGAAAUAAUAUACACACGUCAAGCUCAUUAUGGAGUUGAAACAACAAAUUACUAAACUGUAAACAGUUAAUAUAAGAGAAAAAAAUAUUGUUAUGAAGAUAAAUGUUUUACAAAAUGUGUGAUUAACUAGUUAAUUGUCUAUAAUCUGUUGACAGCCCUAAUCGUAUUCUGAUAAUACAUGUUGGUGCUCAAAUACUUUCAGAUGCCGCGUGCAAAGUCAUGCCACCAUCAAUGGGAAUGGCACAUUGGACACGUGGCUUUCAACUCCAGCGAGGUGGCGGCACGGAUCUCUGCAUGUCUGACUGACAUCUCCCAGUGGAUGUCCGCCCAUCACCUGAAGAUCAACCCCGACAAGACUGAACUACUUUUCUUCCCUGGAAAAAACUCGCCCACUCAGGACCUGACUGUUAACUUUGGCGAACACCGUUAACAUCAGGAGAAUACGACCCCUUCUCACUCAGAAGGCGGCGCAGCACACGGCACAGGUUGGCGUCACAAUCAUGGCAAAGUUGACUGGACCACAGCGGAAAAUGAUCCUUCCAGAGAAGAAGUUAUUUACUUCUACAAUGAAUGGAAAAGUUACAACUUCCAGAUGACAGCUCUCCGCUCAUCCUUCUGGGCAACUUAAACAUCCGACAGAACUUAUGUGACCCUACUGCGUUUAUUUUCUCCUUUAGCUGUCAUUUAAGUAUUAAAAUUCGCUGUAUUUUUGCAAGAGAGGCACCAAUCCUAUUUGAGUGACGUUUCGAAUGUGAAAUUGUAUUGGACCAUAUAGGUCAUCUGCAGAGCGUUGGCCCCUGGCGCAUUAAACCAGGGUUUGAUUCUUGGCAUGCACAAGACUCCUCAUGUGACUUAAAAUGAAUCCAAAAUGUAAUAUUUGUUCAGUAUGCAGGGGCAGUGAUUUAUUUAGUCAUGUUUGGUCAUGUUUUGGUUUUUUUUACAUGACAAUAUGGUUUGGUACAUGCUGAGUUAAUGAAUAUACAUUCUAAAGUGCAAUGUCCAUAUGUGAAUAAGAGUUGUAUACGUUUAUCAUAGUCAAUAUGGUAUGGAAAUAUCCCUUAUGUAGUUGGUCAAUGGGAACUAUAGUAGGCCGUAAUAACAGCUAAGGUAAUUACAGGUGGAUAUUUCUGGGAAUUAACCUUAAAUGAGACUGCAUUUAUGAUAUCUAAGAUAUACAGGACAAGAAAAAUGCACUGGAUGUGUAUAUGUGUUGAAUCAAUUAUACAGACGCAAACUGGAGAACGAGACAAGUGUUGCUGUGAUACUUAUUGUGGUCAUCGUGCCCGAGACCCGUAACAAUUACUCCGCAGGUCUUUUGCAGCGGGGCAACAGCCCGGCGUCGGUGGAUUCCGUUCGCGAGGCCGCAGAUUCAGGUUUGAAUGGCAGCCCCGAGAGUGAUUUGUUUAGUCUCUUUAGUCUUUUUUGACCCGCGAGCCCGGCCGACCGCCGCCCCACCCCAACGUGCGAGAAUAGGCGAAGGCCCGUUCAUCGCUG
Molecule: long non-coding RNA, 1881 nt
Organism: Pungitius pungitius (ninespine stickleback)
Lineage: Eukaryota; Metazoa; Chordata; Actinopteri; Perciformes; Gasterosteidae
Exons: 3
Source: RefSeq, a predicted model, not a curated record